RNAcentral lists this small RNA (2478 nucleotides) under Pan troglodytes (chimpanzee). Its description in RNAcentral is "processed transcript". The record is from RNAcentral. Lineage: Eukaryota; Metazoa; Chordata; Mammalia; Primates; Hominidae.
GGAGAUGUCGUGGGAGGCUGCCCCAGGCGGUGGAGCUGCAGGUGCAGAGGGCCUCGGUGGCGGCUCAGCGCCCUUGGGGAGCACUGAGUUGCCGGGCCUGGUGUGGAAAUGUGACCGGUUUGUGCCUGGCCUCGUCAGUGUUGAGGACCUGGAGGAAACGCAGAUCUUGGGUGGGGAGACAAGGCGGAGAGAAUGAGGUGCAUUGGAACAGUCCAGGCGAGGGGUGCUGGCCUGCUUGGGGGCAACUCAGAGGCCUGGAGGAUAGAUGAGGAGGGGGGCUGUGGGCCUUGUAGGUGUUGGCUGUGGCCGUGCCUGGAGUGGAGGGACCCUUGAGAGUUUGGCCUCAGCUCGGGACACUGAUGUUCCCGGGUUGGCCCUUCAUGAGAGUUUGGCCUCAGCUCGGGACACUGAUGUUCCCGGGUUGGCCCUUCAUGAGAGUUUGGCCUCAGCUCGGGACACUGAUGUUCCUCGGUUGGCCCUUCACAGCUGGUGGUGGGGGGGUGCUUUGGGGAGAGGCUGCCCUACGCAUCAGGGCAUCAAGACACAGGGGAGUGAAUGAACCUGGGGCUGCAGUUUCACCUGGGUGUGGCCCUGGCUGCUGGGGAGGGGCCGUGGCUCUGAAGCCUCCUGAUUGGCCAGGGGAGCUGGCAUUUCUGUUCUGGUUUGGGUCAGUGACCUGAGGUGGUUACAAGUCAGUGAGGUCAUUGCCACGGAUGUAGGUUACAACCUGGAAUGCUUGAGGCUGCAGAACCCCUCCCCUUCUUGACUGAGCAGUAAGGGUUCCCUGCUGUGGUGCAGGAACAUGUGGGCAGAGCCCUGGGUGUCUCCAGGUAGAGGAAUUUUGGUUUCUUUUUGACCCCAGGUUGAAUCUCCAAAUUGUCACUGCCUUGUGUUCCCCUCCAGUAGGCAGAAGGAGGUGAUAUUGUCCGUUGAGAUCUAAAGUCCUUUAUGAAGGUCCUCCUUCUCCUUCCAGGAGGGAGCCAUGGAUUUGCUGCGGGAGCUGAAGGCCAUGCCUAUCACGCUGCACCUGCUCCAGUCCACCCGAGUCGGGAUGUCUGUCAACGCCCUUCGGAAGCAGAGCUCGGAUGAGGAGGUCAUUGCACUGGCCAAGUCUCUCAUCAAGUCCUGGAAGAAGCUCCUGGAUGCUUCCGAUGCCAAAGCCAGGGAGCGGGGGAGGGGCAUGCCUCUGCCCACGUCCUCGAGGGAUGCCUCAGAGGCCCCGGAUCCCAGCCGCAAGAGGCCGGAGCUGCCCAGGGCACCGUCGACUCCGAGGAUCACCACAUUUCCCCCGGUGCCUGUCACCUGUGAUGCCGUGCGCAACAAGUGCCGCGAGAUGCUGACCGCUGCCCUGCAGACGGACCAUGACCACGUGGCCAUCGGUGCGGACUGCGAGCGCCUGUCGGCUCAGAUCGAGGAAUAUAUCCUUUGGGUAGGGGCUGUGGGCCUGGGUUUCUGGUGGAGUCAGGAGGCUGCCUGGCCUGGUGCCCUCUGGUGGCUGCUGGAUGCCACUGCCCAGCUGUCCAGGGGUCACCUGCCUGGGUGGUCACCUGCCUGGGUGGUCAGGCUGUCUCACCCCAGGAGGGCCCCCGGACCAGCUGAGGGGCUGAUUCUGUCUGCUUGUGGGGCCUAGGUCCCCUGGGGCUAUAGCCUGAAGCUGGGUCUCAGUCAGGAAUGGGCCUGGGGCAGGCUUGGCCCCGCAGCCCUUCACCUCUCCACCAGGUGUGGGUGGGCAGACCGACCCCUGUGUGGCUGGGCAGAACCUUUCCAGCCCCCACCCCAACAUGGCCCCCAGCGGGGCAGGUGGUAGGUGGAGGGCAGUGACGUUGUCCUCAGGUGGGUCCUUAAAACACUUGCACGCAUCUUCCGGGACGUUGGAAACACAGACAUGAAGUAUAAGAACCGUGUACGGAGUCGUAUCUCCAACCUGAAGGAUGCCAAGAACCCUGACCUGCGGCGGAAUGUGCUGUGUGGGGCCAUAACACCCCAGCAGAUCGCUGUGAUGACCUCAGAGGUGAGCCCCUGUUGGAGGGGCUGGAGGGCUGCUCCCUCGGAGCGGUGGGCUAAGCCACUGGCCCCGUGCUCCAGGAGAUGGCCAGUGACGAGCUGAAGGAGAUCCGUAAGGCCAUGACGAAGGAGGCCAUCCGAGAGCACCAGAUGGCCCGCACCGGCGGCACGCAGACAGACCUGUUCACCUGCGGCAAGUGCAGGAAAAAGAACUGCACCUACACACAGGUGCAGACCCGCAGCUCUGAUGAGCCCAUGACCACCUUUGUUGUCUGCAACGAGUGUGGAAACCGCUGGAAGUUCUGCUGACCCCUUGUGUAGAUGUGCUGCAGCCUUGGGCCCUCCCCUGCCCACGUCCUCCGUUGACACAGCUUCUCUGGAGACCCUAGAAGGCGGCAUGUCCUGCCCUCAACCUGCCUGCCUGGAUUGCACCUUUCUGCCCUUUCCCCCUCAUUAUUAAAUGUUUCUUUUUGC